Non-coding RNA from Schistocephalus solidus, 83 nucleotides. The record is from Rfam. Lineage: Eukaryota; Metazoa; Platyhelminthes; Cestoda; Diphyllobothriidea; Diphyllobothriidae.
GGCCUUUUAGCUCAGUUGGCUAGAGCGUUGGCUGUACUAAAGCCUUCCCGUUGCUGGCGUGGGUUCAAAUCCCACCGAGGCUG